Long non-coding RNA from Papio anubis (olive baboon), 3476 nucleotides. NCBI's taxonomy places the organism in Eukaryota, Metazoa, Chordata, Mammalia, Primates, Cercopithecidae. The record is from Ensembl.
CAGGAGCAGGCUGAAUGAAACAGAUGAGACAAAAAAGGGCCACCGCCUUAGUCAUGGCCCUCAGGCAGAUGAACUUCCAUGGCUCUAAAAGAAAGAAGGGUGGCUACUUCUUGGCUCUGCGAGGCCCAGGUGGCUCUGCAGCAGCCUCUGCCACCCUGUGACCUGCGGGUAUUGGGACAUCCCUAGCUGACACCAGGACACCCGGGAAGCCGAGGAAUGGACUCCGUGGCAUUUGAGGAUGUGGCUGUGAACUUUACCCAGGAGGAAUGGGCUUUGCUAGAUUCUUCUCAGAAGAAUCUCUACAGAGAAGUGAUGCAGGAAACCUGCAGGAACCUGGCUUCUGUAGACGCAUGAAAGGACUCACACUGGAGAAAGACCCUAUAAAUGUACCAAAUGUGACAAAGCCUUCAGCUGUUCCACUUCCCUUCGUUACCAUGGAAGCAUUCAUACUGGAGAGAGACCCUAUGAAUGUAAACAAUGUGGCAAAGCCUUUAGUCGUUUGAGUUCCCUUUGUAACCACAGAAGUACUCAUACUGGAGAGAAACCCCAUCAAUGUAAACAAUGUGACCAAGCCUUCAGUCACCUCAGUUCCCUUCACCUCCACGAAAGAAUUCAUACUGGAGAAAAACCCUAUGAAUGUAAGAGAUGCGGUAAAGCCUACACUCGUUCCAGUCACCUUACUCGCCAUGAAAGAAGUCAUGAUAUAGAGGCUGGGUGUGGUGACUCAGCCUGUGGUCCCAGUCCUUUGGGAGGCCAAGGUGUGUAUAUUGCUUGAGCCCAGGAGUUCAUAGCCGGCCUGGAUUAAAACAAUGUGAAACAACCUGGGCAACAUGGUGAAACCCUGUCUCUACAAAAAAUAAAAUAAUGCCGGGUGCGGUGGCUCACACUGGCUGCUCAGGAGGCUGAGGCAGGAGAAUGGCAUGAACCCAGGAGGCAGAGCUUGCGGUGAGCCAAGAUCGCACCACCGCACUCCAGCCUGGGCGACAGAGCGAGACUCCGUCUCAAAAAAAAUAAAUAAAUAAAAAAUAAUUAGCUGGGCAUGGUGGCACAUUUCAGUUGUCUUAGCUCUUUUUCAAGGACAUAAAAAGCCAUGGGGGGUUGGGGGGAAGCCCUGUGCAUGCGGAUCACAAGGUCAGGAGAUCGAGACCAUCCUGGCCAACUUGGUGAAACCUCGUCUCUACUAAAAAUAUAAAAAUUAGCUGGGUGUGGUAGCAUAUGCUUGUAGUCCCGGUUACUCAGGAGGCUGAGGCAGGAGAAUCGCUUGAGUCCAGGAGGCGGAGGUUGCAGUGAGCCGAGAUUGUGCCACUGCACUCCAGCCUGGCGACAGAGUGAAAUUCCAUCUCAAAAAAUAAAUAAAUAAAUAAAGCUCCUUGAAUGUAAGAAAUGUGGUAAAACAUUUACUGUUUCCCAUUCCCUCAUAAACAUGAACGAGCUCACACUGCAGAGAAACCUUAAGAAUGCAGGAAAUGUGGUCAAGACUUCAGAUUUUCCUGUUUUUGAAGAUUUGGGAGGACUCAGAGUGGAGAAAAGCCUUUUGAAUUUAAAUUUGUGGUAAGGCCUUCAGUUGUGUUAGUUCCAUUUGAAGACAUCAGCUCAUUCCUGAGAAAAACCCUAUGAAUGUCCAGAAUGUGGGAAUGUUUCAUUUCUCUCAUACCCUCUCAAGGACAUAUGAAAAUGCACACUGUAGCUGGCUGGACCUUGUAAAUACAAGAAUGUACACAGGAUUAAAACUCUAAUAGUUUAGAAACUGCAAGAAUAUUGUCAGUUUUAACAUUUACUUGAAAAGUCAAGUGAAAACUCCCACUGGAAAGAAGUUCUAUAAGUGAAGCUUUUCUAAUUUGGAAAGCCUCAUGCAAAUUAAUUAUUGUGCAGUGCUUGAAAAAAAUGUAUGAAAUGUUACACAAAUUACAAGUAUAUUGUUUUUAUCAGUGGCUCAUUCUUAAAGAGUCGUGAGUGUGCAUUUCACCUUGUUUUGCAGGGAAACCUUGAGGUGAGAGUUCUGUAAAUGCUCUUUAAGCAGUAGUACUUGAAUUUCAUAGAUAAUGAUAUUUUCUUAAGUUUGUUGGUAGAAUUUUUGUCUAGUCAUUUGAUAAUGUGCUGGAUUCAUGGUUGAAUUUUGAUGUUUUUCUAAUAUGUAGGUAAGUUUAAUUUUUUUUUUUUUUUUUUUUUUUUUUUUUAGAUGGAAUCUCACUCUGUUGCCCAGACUGGAGUGCAGUGGUGCGGUCUGGGCUCACUGCAACCUCCGCCUCCUGGGUUUGGGUGGUUCUCCUGCCUCAGCCUCCUGAGUGGCUGGGACUACAGGUGCCCGCCACUACGUCCAGCUAAUUCUUUGUAUUUUUAGUAAAGACAGGGUUUUGCCAUGUUGGCUAGGCUGGUCUUGAACUCCUGACCUCAUGAUUUGCCCACCUUGGCCUCCCAAAGUGCUGGGAUUACAGGCAUGAGCCACCGUGCCCAGCCAGGUAAGUUUCAUUUGUAUGUAUUGUCCUGUGAUUAAUGGACCAGUGAAUAAUGAUUGUGAAUUGUUGGGAUUGUCUUACUAGCCUCAUUUGGCAAAUUUUGAUUAUCCCUUGUCCAUUAUACACAUUCCACCUUUUUUUAUUAAAGGAAAAACUACUCUUGAUGUAAAGAUGUUUAUUUUUUGCUAAUAAUGAGUUGGUAUUAAUUCCUAAGUACAUAAAGUUUACCAUAGAGUUAAAAAAAAAAAAGAAAGAAAGAAAGAAGGGCUGUACAGGCAACCCACCUAACAGCUUGUUAUCAGUGCAGCUUACAGGGACACUUCAAAAAGGACUGCACAAACAAAAGUAAGCCAUUCCCUCAUCCAUGUCCCUUGUGCUAGGGGGAUCACUGGAAGGCACACUGCCCCUGAGGGCGAAGGUCCUCUGGGCCUGAGGCCACUAACCAGAUGGUCUAACAACAUGACUGAAAGUGCCUGGGGCAGGUGCCAGCCCCUGCCAUCACCCCCACAGAGCCCUGGCUAAGCUUAAGCAUUGAAAGCCAGGAAACUAACUUCCUCCUGGACACUGGCAUGGCCUUCUGGGUUUUACUCUUCUGUCCUCCAGGUCUAUCACCAUCAAAGGGGUCCUAGAACAGCCAGUCACUAGGUGUUUCUCUCACCCCCUAAGUUGUGACAGGAGAACCUUAUUUUUCUCACAUGCCUUUCUUAUUAUGCCUAAAAGCCCUACUCCUUUACUAUGAAGGGACAUAUUAGCUAAAGCAGGGGCCAUUAUAUACUAGAAUACAGGAAAAGAAAUUUCUUUUCUCUUUCCUCUACUCGAGGAGGGAGGAGUUAAUCCUGAAGUCUGGGCAGAGGAAGGACAAUACAAAUGAGCAAAAAAGUUUAUCCAGUUCAAGUUAAAUUAAAGUAUCCUACCUCCUUUACCUAUCAAAGGCAAUACCUCAAACCAGAAGCCCAAAAAGGGUUACAAAAGAUUGUCAAAGACCUAAAAGCACAGGAAUUAUUAGUCAUGCAACAGUCC